Molecule: transfer RNA, 72 nt
Filed under: Caudoviricetes sp.
Lineage: Duplodnaviria; Heunggongvirae; Uroviricota; Caudoviricetes
Description: tRNA-Trp
Rfam family: tRNA
About the family: Transfer RNA (tRNA) molecules are approximately 80 nucleotides in length. Their secondary structure includes four short double-helical elements and three loops (D, anti-codon, and T loops). Further hydrogen bonds mediate the characteristic L-shaped molecular structure. tRNAs have two regions of fundamental functional importance: the anti-codon, which is responsible for specific mRNA codon recognition, and the 3' end, to which the tRNAs corresponding amino acid is attached (by aminoacyl-tRNA synthetases). tRNAs cope with the degeneracy of the genetic code in two manners: having more than one tRNA (with a specific anti-codon) for a particular amino acid; and 'wobble' base-pairing, i.e. permitting non-standard base-pairing at the 3rd anti-codon position.
Source: RNAcentral
AAGAGCAUAGUUUAAUUGGUAAAAUAAUGGACUCCAACUCCAUUGUUCUAGGUUCGAGUCCUAGUGCUCUUG